This 821-nucleotide ribosomal RNA is filed under the name uncultured bacterium. RNAcentral's name for it is "bacterial SSU rRNA". It matches the Rfam family "Bacterial small subunit ribosomal RNA", at positions 11 to 832 of the family's 1533-position model. The record is from RNAcentral.
GUUUGAUCCUGGCUCAGGAUGAACGCUAGCGGCAGGCUUAACACCUGCAAGUCGAGGGGCAGCGCGAUGUAGCAAUACAUUGGCGGCGACCGGCGCACGGGUGAGUAACACGUAUGGAAUCUGCCCUUUACUGGGGAACAGCCCGGAGAAAUCCGGAUUAAUGUCCCAUAAUAAGCGAGGUGGCAUCACCUUGUUUUGAAAGCUCCGGCGGUAAAGGAUGACCAUGCGUCCGAUUAGCUAGUUGGUGAGGUAACGGCUCACCAAGGCUACGAUCGGUAGGGGGCCUGAGAGGGUUAUCCCCCACACUGGUACUGAGACACGGACCAGACUCCUACGGGAGGCAGCAGUGAGGAAUAUUGCGCAAUGGAGGCAACUCUGACGCAGCCAUGCCGCGUGCAGGAAGAAGGCGCUACGCGUUGUAAACUGCUUUUAUCCGGGAAGAAACCCCAGGACGUGUCCUGGGUUGACGGUACCGGAGGAAUAAGCACCGGCUAACUUCGUGCCAGCAGCCGCGGUAAUACGAAGGGUGCAAGCGUUAUCCGGAUUCAUUGGGUUUAAAGGGUGCGUAGGCGGAACAAUAAGUCAGCGGUGAAAGCCCGUAGCUUAACUACGAAUUGCCGUUGAUACUGUUGUUCUUGAGUACGCUUGACGUGGGCGGAAUGUGCCGUGUAGCGGUGAAAUGCUUAGAUAUGGCACAGAACACCGAUGUGAAGACAGCUCACGAAGCAAACUGACGCUAGGCACGAAAGCGUGGGGAUCAAACAGGAUAGAUACCCUGGUAGUCCACGCCGUAAACGAUGAUCACUCGUGAUUGGCGAUUA